AAACCAACAGGGAUUGCCUCAGUAACGGCGAGUGAAGCGGCAAAAGCUCAAAUUUGAAAUCUAGUACCUUCGGUGCUCGAGUUGUAAUUUGAAGAUGGCGACUUUGGGAGUGGCCUUUAUCUAUGUUCCUUGGAACAGGACGUCACAGAGGGUGAGAAUCCCGUCUGAUGAGGUGAUCCACUCCUUUGUAAAGUGCUAUCGAAGAGUCGAGUUGUUUGGGAAUGCAGCUCUAAGUGGGUGGUAAAUUCCAUCUAAAGCUAAAUAUUGGCGAGAGACCGAUAGCGAACAAGUACAGUGAUGGAAAGAUGAAAAGAACUUUGAAAAGAGAGUGAAAAAGUACGUGAAAUUGUUGAAAGGGAAGGGUAUUAGAUCAGACUUGGCGUUGUGUGAUUAUCUUCCCCUUGUGGGUUGUGCACUCGUGCUUCGCUGGGCCAGCAUCGAUUCGUGUGGCAGGAUAAUAGCAUUGGAACGUGGCUGCGCUUCUGUGUAGUGUUAUAGCCUUUGUUGAUACUGCCUAUGUGGAUCGAGGACUGCGUCUUUUGACUAGGAUGCUGGCGUAAUGAUCUAAUAUCGCCCGUCUUGAAACACGGACCAAGGAGUCUAACGUCUAUGCGAGUGUUUGGGUGUGAAACCCGUACGCGUAAUGAAAGUGAACGUAGGUGAGAAUCUUCGGAUGUAUCAUCGACCGAUCCUGAUGUCUUCGGAUGGAUUUGAGUAAGAGCAUAGCUGUUGGGACCC
RNAcentral lists this ribosomal RNA (738 nucleotides) under [Candida] sp. RNAcentral describes it as "LSU rRNA". It matches the Rfam family "Eukaryotic large subunit ribosomal RNA", at positions 62 to 817 of the family's 3401-position model. Lineage: Eukaryota; Fungi; Ascomycota; Saccharomycetes; Saccharomycetales. The record is from RNAcentral.